AGUCAACAACACAUGGGACAUUGAUGCUUGUUGUAUGCCAUCUCCUCUAUAGGAUUUAGGGAUAAUGGUCCAUGAUACUACUUGAUUAUGUUGUUCCUAAGCCAAUGACCCGAUGUACCGAACCCAGAGUUUGCUGAUCUCGAAAUGCGAUUACAAGAAGCAUGGAAGAUAUGGAUCUUAAUUAGAAUGAUAAUAUUGCAGAUUUACAACAUUCGCACAAGGUGUUUGAAUUGCUAAGGGAAAAAAACUAAAAAGAAAAUUGGGAGCUUUAAACCAGGUUGGUGGCCGCUAUGCUAUUAAAUAUUGAGAGCAGCCACCGUAUGUUGAAAAUUAAGUUAGGCAGGAAGAAUAGAGGUUUUCUCAGUAUUAGCUAGCUGUUCUAAUGACCUUUCUUUAUUUGUUAAUUCGUAAUAAUCAAGCAAAUUGUACGCCAUAAACAAUUCAGAAUAAGCCAAUCGUAUAUGAUAAAAGUAAAUCCUACACAUGGAGUAAAGAAAGAGAUUUUAGUUUGCGAGAAAUCAUAUAUAAUUCAUCAAAGGCAAUGUAAUAAAGUUUCUCUAGGAAAAUUAUAUAAUAUGCAUCGAUGAAAUCACUUUGCU
Molecule: long non-coding RNA, 599 nt
Filed under: Phoenix dactylifera (date palm)
Lineage: Eukaryota; Viridiplantae; Streptophyta; Magnoliopsida; Arecales; Arecaceae
Description: long non-coding RNA (PDAC_LNC004956)
Source: RNAcentral